Molecule: ribosomal RNA, 301 nt
Filed under: uncultured bacterium
Lineage: Bacteria
Description: partial 16S ribosomal RNA
Rfam family: Bacterial small subunit ribosomal RNA
Source: RNAcentral
CAGUAGCCACGGUAAUACGUAGGGUGCGAGCGUUAAUCGGAAUUACUGGGCGUAAAGCGUGCGCAGGCGGUUUUGUAAGACAGGCGUGAAAUCCCCGGGCUCAACCUGGGAAUGGCGCUUGUGACUGCAAAGCUAGAGUGCGGCAGAGGGGGAUGGAAUUCCGCGUGUAGCAGUGAAAUGCGUAGAUAUGCGGAGGAACACCGAUGGCGAAGGCAAUCCCCUGGGCCUGCACUGACGCUCAUGCACGAAAGCGUGGGGAGCAAACAGGAUUAGAUACCCCCGUAGUCCCUGUCUCUUAUAC